UUCCUACGGGAGGCUGCAGUGGGGAAUCUUAGACAAUGGGGGAAACCCUGAUCUAGCCAUGCCGCGUGGACGAUGAAGGCCUUAGGGUUGUAAAGUCCUUUCAGCUGGGAAGAUAAUGACGGUACCAGCAGAAGAAGCCCCGGCUAACUCCGUGCCAGCAGCCGCGGUAAUACGGAGGGGGCUAGCGUUGUUCGGAAUUACUGGGCGUAAAGCGCGCGUAGGCGGAUUGGAAAGUUGGGGGUGAAAUCCCAGGGCUCAACCCUGGAACUGCCUUCAAAACUCCCAGUCUGGAGUUCGAGAGAGGUGAGUGGAAUUCCGAGUGUAGAGGUGAAAUUCGUAGAUAUUCGGAGGAACACCAGUGGCGAAGGCGGCUCACUGGCUCGAUACUGACGCUGAGGUGCGAAAGCGUGGGGAGCAAACAGGAUUAGAUACCCCUGUAGUCAA
Molecule: ribosomal RNA, 444 nt
Filed under: uncultured Paracoccaceae bacterium
Lineage: Bacteria; Pseudomonadati; Pseudomonadota; Alphaproteobacteria; Rhodobacterales; Paracoccaceae
Description: bacterial SSU rRNA
Rfam family: Bacterial small subunit ribosomal RNA
Source: RNAcentral